AACGAACGCUGGCGGCAGGCUUAACACAUGCAAGUCGAACGGAUCUUUCGGGGUAGGCGGGGCAGGGGGGUGAACAACGCGGGAAAAUGCACCCCGGGGUGGGACAUAGCUCGGGAAAACGGGCUAAUACACGAUAUGUUUUCUGGGGGACAAAGUUUCAUCGCCAAGGGAUGGGCCCGCGUCAGAUUAGCUUGUGGGUGGUGUAACGGCCUACCAAGGCGACGAUCCGUAGCUGGUCUGAGAGGAUGAUCAGCCACAUUGGGACUGAGACACGGCCCAGACUCCUACGGGAGGCAGCAGUGGGGAAUAUUGGACAAUGGGCGCAAGCCUGAUCCAGCCAUGCCGCGUGAGUGAUGAAGGCCCUAGGGUUGUAAAGCUCUUUUACCGGUGACGAUAAUGACGGUACCCGGAGAAGAAGCCCCGGCUAACUUCGUG
This 435-nucleotide ribosomal RNA is filed under the name uncultured bacterium. RNAcentral describes it as "partial 16S ribosomal RNA". It matches the Rfam family "Bacterial small subunit ribosomal RNA", at positions 29 to 507 of the family's 1533-position model. The record is from RNAcentral.